AUGACCACGCGACAAUCCAGCAACGGUGGCCGUGUUUACACAGUAUAGGAAAAAGCACCGGUCUCUCUGGUUGCUGUGAGCGAUUCCAUUAUGGUAGCGUUCACUAGUAUGUAUAAGGCCUCAUGCACACGACCGUUGUACGGAUCAGUC
Long non-coding RNA from Bufo bufo (common toad), 150 nucleotides. RefSeq lists it as uncharacterized. The transcript has 3 exons. Lineage: Eukaryota; Metazoa; Chordata; Amphibia; Anura; Bufonidae. The record is from RefSeq and is a predicted model, not a curated record.